GUGAUCACUUCAGAAGCACACGUACUAAUUGCAGAACAAUAUGGAGAAGAUUAACACGGCUCCUGAGCAAGAAUGACAUGCAAACUUGUGAAGUGUUGCAAAUUAAA
Molecule: small nuclear RNA, 107 nt
Organism: Sciurus vulgaris (Eurasian red squirrel)
Lineage: Eukaryota; Metazoa; Chordata; Mammalia; Rodentia; Sciuridae
Source: Ensembl